Molecule: long non-coding RNA, 6556 nt
Filed under: Capsicum annuum
Lineage: Eukaryota; Viridiplantae; Streptophyta; Magnoliopsida; Solanales; Solanaceae
Description: long non-coding RNA (CANN_LNC016912)
Source: RNAcentral
AUGCCCAAAACCAGGUGUAAAUACUGUUAAAACUACUAAUACAAUUCAAGAGUCAAACGCAUCAAAAAAAUAACCACAAAUGAAUAAUAUCUAUCUCCGAAUACUAAUAAAGACAUAAUUACUAAAGAAAGAUAGAGGGGAACUUCAGACGCAUGAAUGUCCAAUCGCUACCUUGGAAGCUCCAACAAUCGCCUGAUUCAAGCAAGCUGAGGCGCACUCGAGCUAGGACCUGCAUCGAAAGGGCGCAGUAAGCAUAAGUACGGUCCACUUGUACUUAGCAGGUAUCAUAGGUCGACCAAGAAAAGUAGUAAAUAAAGCAUACAAAAUAUACACUAAGGGCACGUCAGCUGUAAUCAGAAAAUAUCCUACAACGAUAGCCCAUACAGCUUGCACUAAUAGUUCUAAUAUAUCUCACAUAUAUUGCAACAUCAUACCAAGAUAGAAUAAAAGAACGCAUUAUAUCACAUAUAAAAAUAACAAGGAGAAUAUGCAUAUACAAGAUCAUCAAAUACAAGUAAAAGAAGAUAUGAUAAAUACAUAGAUGACAAGUCAAUAUGCAUAUAUAACACAACAACAACAACAAAGCCAGUGUAUUCCCAUGCAUUGGGGCCAAUACAACACAACACAACACAAUAAAGUAAGUGCAAUGUAUAUGAUAUGAUAAUGAUUGAUGAUGAUGAUGAUGAUGAUGCACGAGGUCGUCGCACAACUUCUGGGAUCAUCGCACAAUCCCCAUAUACACCUAUGGAGGCAAGCCUCCCAAUGCAGGACCCAUAGGUGGUUCGUCAACCCGUAUACAUUCCACAUAUCUCAUAUAUCCUUUUUGGCAUAUCCUUUGGAAAGAUUUUUAUAAGGUGUUACAAUAUCUUUUAAAAAGGUGUUGCCAGUGUUUCUCAGAUAUUGCCGUGGUGGUACCAAUGUUUUAUGAAUAAGUAUGAUAUGAAGAUAUAAUGCUCACAACCAAUCACAAUGAGUAUUUCCACAACCAACCACAUGAUGUAUUUUCACAACCAACCACAAUGAUAUAUUUCCACAACCACAUGAGCCAAUAUCCACUCAUUAUUUUUGUUUCAUCCAUGAAUUUCCACAUGUCUCAUAUGUCAAUAAGGUAUGAAUAUAAUCAUAAUACAUCAAUGGUACCAUAUUAAGCAUUUUAACAACACAAUACAAUUAUUUACAUAUUUUCAAGGCUAUUAAUAUCACAUAAGACCCCACACGGUCACACAUAUCACAUAAUAACUCAAUUUCGACAAUUACAUCACAUAUAGGCCCCCACACGGGCUCAAAACAUAAAUAGCCAUUUUUCAUGAUUAGUUUCCACCCUUAACAUGCAUUUGUAUUAUCAUUUACUACCCAGACCAGUCUGAAAGAGUUAAGCCAUAGCCUACCUCAAAAGCCUAAACCGAUCCACUAUCCUUGAACCUGCGAUCUUACUUUUUACAAACAAUCUCGAACUCCACUAAAAAUAUCAAAUAUGAAAUCUACGUGUCAAUACAAAACCAACGACACCCAUAUUAACUACUUUUGGUUCGGAGUCAAAAUGGACCCCCAAAAUGGGUUUUUGAAAAAGAAGGAAAAAAUCAGAACUUUACUUCAAAAACAUGUUCUCCAUAUUUUUAGGAACCUACAUCUGAAAACUCAAGUUAAAUCGAGUAAAAGAUGGGGUUAAAUUUAAAGAAAAAUCAUUUUUGAGAUUUAUCUGGUAAAAUCUUGAAAAUCUGGGUUAAAAUCAAGAAUCAGAGUUGUUUUGAAGGUUAAAUUAACGAAAAACUAGUAAUUAUAAGAUAAAAAAUUUUAUUCAAGUGAAAGGAGUGAAAUUUGAGUUUAAAAUCAUGCCGUAAUAUUUUGGGGGUUUUGAGGAAUUUAUGAAGAAUUUUUGUUUUUUUGGUCAAUUAAGAAAUUUUUUCAUUCAACCAAAGUAUCAACAUUACAAGGUCCUGCCAGUCUUUUUGGACUCGAACUGGUUACUCAGUUCUCGUUUGACAGACAAUCUGUUUUACAGUAUAUCUAAACUAGCACUACAUUCAAGCAUUUUACAUACAAGUCUUGCUAAUUUGGAUAUCUUGUCAAUUGCUGCAAUCUUGAGCACCAUUUGGGAUAUUGUUGCCCUGCAAUAUAGAUCUCCAUUUCAAUAUCAUGAAGCCUCUGUAUUGAUUCUUUAGCUUGAUUCCUAAACCUUCUUGCAUUUCGUUCAGCCCAUAUCUGAUAGACUGCUGCCACAAAGCAGAAGCCCAGUAAUCCUGCCUGAGGUCUAUUGUUUUUGAUCAUUUUGGUAAGCCAAGUAACUUCCUGAUUCCAUUCCCCAAUGGUCUUGUUAUAUCCUAGCCAUUUUAAUAGCCCUGACCAGAUACUUGUUGAGUAUGGACAUUCAAAGAAAAGGUGGUCAGCUGUUUCUAUUGUAUCCUUUUUACAUAACACACAAUCUGUGGACACUGUUUUGCCCCACUUCAAUAUUUGAUCCACUGUAUUUAAUCUAUUGUGCAGUGCUAACCAUAAACUAAACCUUUGCCUGGGAAGUUGGCCUUGCAUUAACACUAAUCUGCUCCACUCCACUUUGUUAUAAUGAGGUAGCAUACCUAGGUAGCUUUUUCUUAUGCUAUAACCUUGAACUCUUGUGUAUGCUUGUAGUUUAUCCUGGACAGUACCUGUACCUUCAAGCCAUUUUUUUGCAUCAAUAAUCUUCCUGACAAUCCAGCUUACUUUCUUUGGAGUUGUCACUGUGUCAAUUGUCAUAUUCUUUAUAUAGUAAGCAUGGAUCCAUCUCACCCAUAAUCUAUCUUUUUUUUGUUCCACAGCCCAUAAGAGUUUGCAUAUUGCUGCCUUGUUCCAUCUAAUAAGAUCGAUCAUAUUUAAACCACUUGCUAUUUUAGGCAUGCAUACUGUUUCCCAAGCAACCAAAGCCUUUUUUGAACACUCAUUACUUCUAGUCCACAAGAAGGUCCUACACAUAGUAGUCACUAGAUCCAAGACUUUCUUAGGGAGAAGCAAUAUCUGAGCCCAGUAGGUUUGCAUUUCAAAUAAUACACUCUUCACCAAUUUGAGUCUACCACUGUAAGAUAAUAAUUUGGAUGACCAACAUUUAACUCUUACUAUCAUCUUCUCCACUAUUGUCAUGCAUUAUUGAAUUAAAACCUUUCUGGUUGAUAAAGGCACUCCUAGGUACUUGAAGGGUAGUGUACCCAAAGACAGUCCCAGGUUAGUCAGCAUUUUCUCUCUAAACUCAGCCUCCACUCCUACAAUGAAUAGUGAACUCUUUUCCAUGUUUGCAUAAAGACCUGAUACUCUAGAGAAAUGUUGGAAUGUAUUAAAUAGCAAGUUGAUUGAGAUCUUAUCAGCCCUGCAGCUCAUUAGCAAAUCAUCAGCAAAAUAGAUAUGGAUAAUACCCAGUUUUUCACACCUUGGGUGGUAGUUAAAUUGUGGAUUGUGCCUCAGUUGUUGCUGGUUCCUAUGUAGAUAUUCCAUUACUAGGAGAAAUAGGUAAGGGGACAUGGGAUCCCCUUGCCUAAGUCCUUUUUUUGCUUGGAACUGUGGGGUCAAGCCACCAUUGAUGAGUAUACCAUACUGAACAGUAGUGACACACUCCAUUAUCAAAUUAACCAUCUUAGCAGGUAGUCCAAAUUCUAAUAAAACCAUUCUUAGAAAUGGCCACUCGAUAGAGUCAUAGGCUUUUCUAAUAUCAACUUUAAUUGUACAUCUAGCUGAGACCCCCUUCUGGGAAUAUCCUUUAACAAGUUCAUAUGCAAGCACCACAUUGUCAAGAAUACUUCUACCCUCUAGAAAACCUGAUUGUGCAGGGCUCAGUAGGGUGUCAACCACCAUUUUCAGCCUAACAGUUAGGAUUUUAGCAAUUAAUUUAUAUAGGGAGUACAACAUGCAAUAGGUCUAUAUUCUUUGACAUAAGUAGGAUUAGGGACUUUGGGGACCAGGGUAAUGGUAGUGAUAUUAGUGCCCUUUAGAAGUUUACCAUUCUCAAAAAAUUGGAGUAUCCCUUCAGUAACUUCUUCACCUAUAAUCUGCCAGUAAGAUUUGAAAAAUUCAGCAUUAAAACUAUCUAUACCUGGGAACUUAUCAAGAGGAAGACCCUUCAAGGCUUGGUCCAUAUCCUGUUUAGCCACUGGGAGCAUGAGUUGUUCUAGUUGAGAUAUGGAGAGACAGGGCCCAUCUCCUGCUACACCAAUGUCCAGACAAGGUAGUGUUGCUGCAGCAGUACCCAAGAGUGUCUGAAAAAUUGAAUAAAUUCUUGCUGAAUUUGUUUAGGCUCUAUCAACUUGACCCCUUUUUUCUAUAUAUAUGGAUGAAAUUCUAUUUCUUUCCGGCCUUGCCUUCAUAUGUGAAAAAAAAUAUUUGGUGUUUCUAUCACCAUGCUUUAUCUAAGUUGCCAUGGACUUCUGUUUUAACACUUGUUCAUAGACUCCCUCCCAAUGCUCUAGAUCCUAAAGUAUGGUUCUCUCCUGUGCUAUAAGUUGCUGAUUGAAUAAGUCUGUGGUCAUCUCCUUUUGGACAUCUUGAAGUUGUGAUCUUUACUUAUUUAAUCUCAGUUCUACUGAAGAGUACUCUUUGUUUAGAUGUUUUGACCUAUGAUCUAGGGAUUGCAAUUUCCUCCAGACUUUAAACAUAGCAUGUCCUUGCACUUGUGUUCUCCAAGGUUCUUCCACCAGAUCACUGAAAUUCCUCUGCUGUAUCACUACAUUGAGUAAUCUAAAAGGCUUUCUUAGAUUCAAUUGAUGACACUUUGUUGUUAGUACCACUGGUAAGUGGUCAGAGCAGCCAGGUUCAAGAAAUUUUGCUUCAAUGUAACUGUAUUGCUGAAAAUAGUCACUAUUGCCAAAUACCCAAUCAAUAUGUGAAUAAAUUCUAGAAUCUCCUUCUCUUUUAUUGCACCAGGUCAUAUGCCUCCCCCUACUCAAUACUGGCCCCACCUUUAUAUCAUCAAUACACUUUUGGAAUUCUUUUGUUUCUUGAGGAGUAACUGGAUCACUAUUCACUCUAUCAACAUGUGAUAGCACUGCAUUGAAGUCCCUUAGUAGUAACAAUGACAUUACCCAACAAGAUUUUCCAAUUUGUUCCACAAGUUUAUUCUUUCUGCAGCAGCAUUAAAUCCAUAGACAAAGGUGAUAGUGCUCUAAAAAUCAGUAUCUCCAUCUUCAACUCUAAAAUGGAUUAGUUGAGCUGUUGUAUCCAGAAUAGUGACCUUUACCUGUUGUCCCUUCCAUAAUAGCCAUAAUCUACCAUUUAUAGUAGUAGGAUAGUCAGUGAACACAUUCCCAUUCUCCUCCAAAUAAUCUUUUUAUUUUUUCAGCAUUAUGAACCCUAACUUUGGUUUCUAAUCAUCCCAUUAUAUCCAUAUUAUUCCUGAGCAGAAAGUAUUUUAAUUCCUUCUUCUUGAAGGGCUUAUUAAGCCCUCUAAUAUUCCAAGCACUAAUAAUUAUUUGGUCACACCUAAAUCAGGUGUUUUAACCCUGUUUGGUGCUGCUAUUGUCUUCCCUAGUGCCUCCUGUAGAACUGUUUGUGGAUCUAAUAGAGCUUGGCUUCCUUUAGAACCCUGUGGUAGAGUUUCAGAAUCUUCACCAGUAUCAGUUUGAUUCCCUUUCACUCGGUCAUCUACCUUAGUGUUCUAGGUAGCCACAUAGGUAUAAUCCUUCUUCUUCUAGGAGCUUAUUGUCUUUGCCUCUCUUAUUCUAGUUCCAGGCCUUCCUCCUUGUUUUGCAUCUACCAGGCGCAUGAUCCAUCUUCUUACAAUCAGGGCAUACUACAGGCCUCCAUUCAUUGUCCAAUAUCUAAGUUACUACACGACCCUCCUCUUCCAGAUAGAUCUCUGCAGGUAAUUCCUAUUUUACAUCUAGCUCUAUGAGGAGCAUGGCAUAAGAGAUACGUUCUAUCUCAGCUGUCAAUCUACCAGUACAAAUUGGUUUCCCAAUUCAAUUGGCAAUUCUGCUGAGAUUCUCCUCCGAACAGUAAUAGAUUGGGAACCCGGGUAGUGUUACCCAGAGAGGAACAAUGCGCAGCAUCUCAAGGGUAAACCUGAAAUUCUUCUCCCAAUUCCUCAGUAUCAAAGGUCGACUGUUGUAUGUAUAAGGUCCAUUCUGCAGUAUUUGGGAUUUACCUUCCUCGUUGGCAAAUAGAAAUAUAAAGUACUCAUCGUUAUGGAGAUAAACUCGCGACAUUUCAAUAUAAUUCCACACACUAUAAACGAAUUUGAGUAUAUCCAUGAAGAUUGGAGGUACCUCCCAUGACGUGCCCAAUCAGUGGAUUUUUCCAUUUAUCUCACUCCGAUUUCACUUCCACAGCACUGAUUUGGACAAAUUUUCUACCCUCUUUUAUCACAGGAGGGAUGUAACAAAGUUUUAAUCCAUUUUGAAUUUGACGAUUAUCUUGAGUAGGAGAUGGAGGUGCCGCUACAGGAGGGGAAGCUUCCACAAGGGGGGUGACAAAACUGAGUUUUCGCACUACAUUCGAGCUUUCUGGCUCAGUUCUGGAUCAUUCCUUGGCAUAUUUGGAAUUUCAAUUGCUGGUACAACCGUCACUAUUUUCUCCGUUCCCGGUACCCAACUUCCAA